UCGACUACGGGACGCAGCAGUGGGGAAUAUUGCACAAUGGGGGAAACCCUGAUGCAGCAACGCCGCGUGAAGGAAGACGGUUUUCGGAUUGUAAACUUCUGUUCUUAGUGAAGAAAAAUGACGGUAGCUAAGGAGCAAGCCACGGCUAACUACGUGCCAGCAGCCGCGGUAAUACGUAGGUGGCAAGCGUUGUCCGGAAUUACUGGGGGUAAAGGGAGCGCAGGCGGGAAGCCAAUUCAGCUGUGAAAACUACGGGCUUAACUUGUAGCCUGCAGUUG
RNAcentral lists this ribosomal RNA (278 nucleotides) under uncultured bacterium. RNAcentral's name for it is "partial 16S ribosomal RNA". It matches the Rfam family "Bacterial small subunit ribosomal RNA", at positions 332 to 629 of the family's 1533-position model. The record is from RNAcentral.